This 660-nucleotide ribosomal RNA is filed under the name uncultured beta proteobacterium. RNAcentral describes it as "bacterial SSU rRNA". It matches the Rfam family "Bacterial small subunit ribosomal RNA", at positions 872 to 1532 of the family's 1533-position model. The record is from RNAcentral. Lineage: Bacteria; Pseudomonadati; Pseudomonadota; Betaproteobacteria.
GCUGGGGAGUACGUCGCAAGAUUAAAACUCAAAGGAAUGACCGGGGCCCGCACNAAGCGGUGGAUGAUGUGGUUUAAUUCGAUGCAACGCGAAAAACCUUACCUACCCCUUGACAUGUCCUGAACCCUGCUGAAAGGCGGGGGUGCCCGAAAGGGAACGGGAACACAGGUGCUGCAUGGCUGUCGUCAGCUCGUGUCGUGAGAUGUUGGGUUAAGUCCCGCAACGAGCGCAACCCUUGCCAUUAGUUGCUACAUUUAGUUGGGCACUCUAAUGGGACUGCCGGUGACAAACCGGAGGAAGGUGGGGAUGACGUCAAGUCCUCAUGGCCCUUAUGGGUAGGGCUACACACGUCAUACAAUGGUCGGUACAGAGGGUUGCCAACCCGCGAGGGGGAGCCAAUCUCAGAAAGCCGAUCGUAGUCCGGAUUGCAGUCUGCAACUCGACUGCAUGAAGUCGGAAUCGCUAGUAAUCGCGGAUCAGCAUGUCGCGGUGAAUACGUUCCCGGGCCUUGUACACACCGCCCGUCACACCAUGGGAGCGGGUUUUACCAGAAGUAGGUAGGCUAACCGCAAGGGGGCCGCUUACCACGGUAGGAUUCGUGACUGGGGUGAAGUCGUAACAAGGUAGCCGUAUCGGAAGGUGCGGCUGGAUCACCUCCUU